Molecule: ribosomal RNA, 235 nt
Filed under: uncultured Scutellospora
Lineage: Eukaryota; Fungi; Glomeromycota; Glomeromycetes; Diversisporales; Gigasporaceae
Description: partial 18S ribosomal RNA
Rfam family: Eukaryotic small subunit ribosomal RNA
Source: RNAcentral
UUGGAGGGCAAGUCUGGUGCCAGCAGCCGCGGUAAUUCCAGCUCCAAUAGCGUAUAUUAAAGUUGUUGCAGUUGAAAAGCUCGUAGUUGAAUUUCGGGGUUCUACCGUUGGUCGGGCUAACCAGUCUGUGCUAGCGUGUAAAAUUCCUACCUUCUGGAGAACCAUCAUGUUAUUAAUUUAGCGUGGUGGGAAACCAGGACCUUUACCUUGAAAAAUUAGAGUGUUUAAAGCAGGC